GGAAUCUGCCUAUUAGUGGGGGACAACAUUCCGAAAGGGAUGCUAAUACCGCAUACGCCCUACGGGGGAAAGCAGGGGAUCUUCGGACCUUGCGCUAAUAGAUGAGCCUAAGUCGGAUUAGCUAGUUGGUGGGGUAAAGGCCUACCAAGGCGACGAUCUGUAGCGGGUCUGAGAGGAUGAUCCGCCACACUGGGACUGAGACACGGCCCAGACUCCUACGGGAGGCAGCAGUGGGGAAUAUUGGACAAUGGGGGGAACCCUGAUCCAGCCAUGCCGCGUGUGUGAAGAAGGCCUUUUGGUUGUAAAGCACUUUAAGCGAGGAGGAGGCGCUCUAGGAUAAUACCCUAGAUGCGUGGACGUUACUCGCAGAAUAAGCACCGGCUAACUCUGUGCCAGCAGCCGCGGUAAUACAGAGGGUGCGAGCGUUAAUCGGAUUUACUGGGCGUAAAGCGCGCGUAGGUGGCUAAUUAAGUCAAAAUGUGAAAUCCCCGAGCUUAACUUGGGAAUUGCAUUCGAUACUGGUUAGCUAGAGUAUGGGAGAGGAUGGUAGAAUUCCAGGUGUAGCGGUGAAAUGCGUAUAGAUCUGGAGGAAUACCGAUGGCGAAGGCAUCCAUCUGGCCUAAUACUGACACUGAGGUGCGAAAGCAUGGGGAGCAAACAGGAUUAGAUACCUUGGUAGUCCAUGCCGUAAACGAUGUCUACUAGCCGUUGGGGCCUUUGAGGCUUUAGUGGCGCAGCUAACGCGAUAAGUAGACCGCCUGGGGAGUACGGUCGCAAGACUAAAACUCAAAUGAAUUGACGGGGGCCCGCACAAGCGGUGGAGCAUGUGGUUUAAUUCGAUGCAACGCGAAGAACCUUACCUGGCCUUGACAUACAGAGAACUUUCCAGAGAUGGAUUGGUGCCUUCGGGAACUCUGAUACAGGUGCUGCAUGGCUGUCGUCAGCUCGUGUCGUGAGAUGUUGGGUUAAGUCCCGCAACGAGCGCAACCCUUUUCCUUACUUGCCAGCAUUUCGGAUGGGAACUUUAAGGAUACUGCCAGUGAC
Molecule: ribosomal RNA, 1044 nt
Filed under: Acinetobacter indicus
Lineage: Bacteria; Pseudomonadati; Pseudomonadota; Gammaproteobacteria; Moraxellales; Moraxellaceae
Description: bacterial SSU rRNA
Rfam family: Bacterial small subunit ribosomal RNA
Source: RNAcentral